RNAcentral lists this ribosomal RNA (253 nucleotides) under uncultured bacterium. Its description in RNAcentral is "partial 16S ribosomal RNA". It matches the Rfam family "Bacterial small subunit ribosomal RNA", at positions 524 to 776 of the family's 1533-position model. The record is from RNAcentral.
UACGGGGGGGGCAAGCGUUGUUCGGAAUUACUGGGCGUAAAGGGUUUGUAGGUGGCUUGCUAAGUCAGACGUGAAAUCCCUCAGCUUAACUGGGGAACUGCGUCUGAGACUGGCAAGCUUGAGUGCAGGAGAGGAACGCGGAAUUCCAGGUGUAGCGGUGAAAUGCGUAGAUAUCUGGAGGAACACCGGUGGCGAAGGCGGCAUCCUGGACCGACACUGACACUGAGGAGCGAAAGCCAGGGGAGCAAACGGG